Molecule: ribosomal RNA, 464 nt
Filed under: uncultured Methylomirabilota bacterium
Lineage: Bacteria; Methylomirabilota (SeqCode)
Description: bacterial SSU rRNA
Rfam family: Bacterial small subunit ribosomal RNA
Source: RNAcentral
GCGUUGGCUUGACAUCCCACGAACCUGCCUGAAAGGGUAGGGUGCCCGCAAGGGAACGUGGAGACAGGUGGUGCAUGGCUGUCGUCAGCUCGUGUAGUGAGAUGUUGGGUUAAGUCCCGCAACGAGCGCAACCCUCACCCCUAGUUGCCACCGGGUAAAGCCGAGCACUCGAGGGGAACUGCCAGCGUCAAGCUGGAGGAAGGCGGGGAUGACGUCAAGUCAUCAUGCCCCUUACGUCCUGGGCUACACCCGUGCUACAAUGGCCAAUACAAAGGGAUGCGAGACCGCGAGGUGGAGCUAAUCCCAAAAAGCGGUCUAAGGUUCAGAUUGCAGUCUGCAACUCGACUGCAUGAAGGAGGAAUCGCUAGUAAUCGCGCAUCAGCCCGGCGCGUGAAUACGUUCCCGGGCCUUGUACACACCGCCCGUCACACCACGAAAGCUUACUGUACUCGAAAGUCGCUGAU